UUAAAGAGUUCUAAAAAACUCCCAAACCCAUGUGAACUUACCUUUGUUGCCUCGGCAGGAUCGACCAACUCCGACAGAGCCUACCCUGUAGGUGACGUUGGGCUGGCCGGCCAAGUCUUGCCGGUGGACCAUCAAACUCUGUUUAUUAUACUGUUAUUUCUGAAAUCAAAACAAAUAAGUUAAAACUUUCAACAACGGAUCUCUUGGUUCUGGCAUCGAUGAAGAACGCAGCGAAAUGCGAUAAGUAAUGUGAAUUGCAGAAUUCAGUGAAUCAUCGAAUCUUUGAACGCACAUUGCGCCCAUUAGUAUUCUAGUGGGCAUGCCUGUUCGAGCGUCAUUUCAACCCUUAAGCCCUGUUGCUUAGUGUUGGGAGCCUACAGUUCACUGUAGCUCCUCAAAGUUAGUGGCAGAGUCGGCUCACGCUCUAGACGUAGUAAUCUUUUUCUCGGCUAUAGAUGAGUUGGCUUCUCGCCAUAAAACCCCCCCUAAAUCUAAAGGUUGACCUCGGAUCAGGUAGGAAUACCCGCUGAACUUAAGCAUAUCAAUAAGCGGAGGAAAAGAAACCAACAGGGAUUGCCCUAGUAACGGCGAGUGAAGCGGCAACAGCUCAAAUUUGAAAUCUGGCCCUCGUGGUCCGAGUUGUAAUUUGUAGAGGAUGUUUUUGGCGCGGUGCCUUCCGAGUUCCCUGGAACGGGACGCCUUAGAGGGUGAGAGCCCCGUACGGUUGGACACCAAGCCUCUGUAAAACUCCUUCGACGAGUCGAGUAGUUUGGGAAUGCUGCUCUAAAUGGGAGGUAAAUUUCUUCUAAAGCUAAAUAUUGGCCAGAGACCGAUAGCGCACAAGUAGAGUGAUCGAAAGAUGAAAAGCACUUUGAAAAGAGGGUUAAACAGCACGUGAAAUUGUUGAAAGGGAAGCGUUUGCGACCAGACCUUUUCCUUGGGGAUCAUCUAGUGUUCUCACUGGUGCACUUCCCUUGGUUUAGGCCAGCAUCGGUUUCGGCAGGGGGAUAAAAACUGGAGGAACGUAGCUCCCUCGGGAGUGUUAUAGCCUCUGGUAUAAUACCUUUGCGGGGACCGAGGACCGCGCUCGGCAA
This 1094-nucleotide ribosomal RNA is filed under the name Xylariaceae sp. 4Y-Ig7-1. Its description in RNAcentral is "eukaryotic LSU rRNA". The stretch from base 500 to 1094 matches the Rfam family "Eukaryotic large subunit ribosomal RNA", at positions 1 to 605 of the family's 3401-position model. Lineage: Eukaryota; Fungi; Ascomycota; Sordariomycetes; Xylariales; Xylariaceae. The record is from RNAcentral.